CAGCCAUCAUUUAAAGAAAGCGUAAUAGCUCACUGGUCGAGUCGGCCUGCGCGGAAGAUGUAACGGGGCUAAACCAUGCACCGAAGCUGCGGCAGCGACACUAUGUGUUGUUGGGUAGGGGAGCGUUCUGUAAGCCGUUGAAGGUGUCCUGUGAGGGGUGCUGGAGGUAUCAGAAGUGCGAAUGCUGACAUAAGUAACGAUAAAG
RNAcentral lists this ribosomal RNA (205 nucleotides) under Enterobacter hormaechei subsp. hoffmannii. RNAcentral describes it as "partial 23S ribosomal RNA". It matches the Rfam family "Bacterial large subunit ribosomal RNA", at positions 1113 to 1317 of the family's 2925-position model. The record is from RNAcentral. Lineage: Bacteria; Pseudomonadati; Pseudomonadota; Gammaproteobacteria; Enterobacterales; Enterobacteriaceae.